CCCACAGCAUCGCCCCUGCCCCACAGCACUGCCCCACAGCAUCGCCUCACAGCAUCGCCCCUGCCCCACAGCACCGCCCCACAGCAUCGACCCUGCCCCACAGCACCGCCCCACAGCUCCGCCCCACAGCAUCUCCCCCCCCAGUGCAGGCACCACGACGCUCACAGGGUCGUGCUCCCAGCGAGGGCGAGAGAGGCAGUGGCAGCACUCCCGCAGCCCCCUGGCAGAGCGGAUGCCGCGUUUGUACACCAGUUUGCCACAAACCGUGUCACACACAGUGGGUGGCGUGGCGGUGCAGGCUGCCCGGCUGUGCUCUUCCACAGCUGCUGGAGGCCCAGCUCUGCGCCAGCUUCACCGGAGGGCUUCUCCGGCACUGGAACGGCUGCUCAGUGAAGGGUUCUUGCGCUCAAUACACCCAAGUCGGAUCACUACAGAACGCAUUUCUUACAAGGAGAGAAUCCAAUGAAGCACCAAGGAAAUGAUUCAGAGCACCAGCUAGAUGGCCAGAAGAGGAACUGUGUCUGAGCUCAGCUGGAAUGAAUUACUGCAUCCCCAAGGAAGCAGUGAGAGUAAACAGCAGAAAGCCUGUGGGGAUAUCCAUGGUAGGAGAGUAUCAGGCUUGGAUUUCUCUCAUAUUCUACCAAGUGUCCAGCAUGAUUUUCAUUGCAGGCACUCAAUUCAGUUACAACUGGUAAGGAAUAAUUUUAUUUCUUCUUAAAAUGCUUAUUUUGUCAGAAACAAAUUCCCCAUUAAAGCAUCUGUUUAAAACUGCCCUUUGAAUAAUAAGACGGAAGAAAUGAAAAGCAUUUUGAUAAACAUGUCAGGCUUCCUCUCCAAUAUGGAAACAAUUUUUAAAAUUCAUCUUCUUUCAAUACAAUUUUUCAUAGAAAGACACUUAAAAGAAAUAUUUUUUAAUUUCACAUGAACAAUCACUUAAGACUGAUGUUCUUUUAUAGUUUUUCCAAAAACUAUUUUUGCUCAACUUCAGAAGAUGACAUUAUCUUUGAAAUUGUAAGAUUUUUCCAUUCUGAGAAUAGAAAAUUGGAGGAGGGGGGUUAAAAUCUUUUUUGAUUGACCAUCAUUGUGACCAAACCUGUUUUCAUUCUCACUUAAACAGCAGGUUGACAAUGGGUUGUAUUUUUCUCCAUGUAAAUUAGUCUAUCAUCUUCCAUUUGUUUUCACAAAUGUGGGGACAAACCUGAGAGACUUAGGACAAUCUUUUUUUUUUUUCCUUUUUUUUUUUGUGUAGAGACUCUAUUAGUGAGUUACAAGACUUCAUUUAGGAAAGUCUGGCUGCAAAUACCACUAGCUCACUUAAUUAAGGGAAAUUGACCGCUAGAUGAUGACUCCUGGCUUGCUUGACCUACUAUAUACAGCUAUAAAUGUUCUUUUUUAAGACAACACUCUGCAUUGUCCAUCAUGGUAUAAUUAGCAUGUCCCUUUCUUCUCAGUUUUCAUAAUUAAUAGUACAACUUGCCUUGACAGCCAUCUUUGGUCUGUCUACAGAUGGCCAUCCAUAUCUUACACAAAAUGGAGAGCUACGUAGAAUAGUUUCAGCUGGUAACAAAUAUUUAUUGAAAUGUCUUAAAAGGGAUUAUGUAUACUGGAAACCCUUGAGGCCUGAGCUCUUUUUGCUGAGAAGUGCCUACAACUUCUUUCUCUUGUACCCAUAACUAAGUACCAUUAGUCUUACUACUGGUACAGAGCUGGAGGAUUUUUUCUUUCCUACUACAAAUCACUUCUUUAUUUUACCAUUCCUAAGUUCAGCUGAGGUCUUUCAUAUUUCUGUAGGAGGACUGCCUAGCAAUACAAUUUAGGGUCAGUUUAAACAGAAUUAUUUUCUUAUUCUUGAACAUUUGCAAACAGGCAAACUUAAUGUAAAAAAAUGACAAUGCCUGUGUGUAUACAAGAUUUCUCAGCUCUCAAUGAGAGCACGCAACUGCAAACACUGGUCUUUAUAGAUGUAUUCUGAAAACAAUUUUUGCUCACAUCACUAAUUCCAUUACUUUUUAUUAUUACACUUUGCAUGAAAUAAUACAGUUUGCAAGACUCAGAUCUAAAAUAUUAAGCAUAUAUCCCUGGCAGCAGCAUGACAUUUUGCAUCAAACAUCUACGCUAAAACAUAAGUCUACUAAAGAAGAUAGCUUCUUUACCCAGCACCUUUACAUCUUGUGUGCUUCCAGACCAAUCUCUUUCUUAUUGACAAGAAAGGACAGGACAGAAGAGACUCUGGAGACUCUACUACUGUUUGGUAAGUAUGACUGACAAUCUUUUUUGACUUCUGUAUACCAUUAUCAACUAAAUAUCAAACAGAUUCUGAAAAUCUAAACUAUGCCUUAGC
Cuculus canorus (common cuckoo) is the source of this 2341-nucleotide long non-coding RNA. RefSeq lists it as uncharacterized. The record is from RefSeq and is a predicted model, not a curated record. NCBI's taxonomy places the organism in Eukaryota, Metazoa, Chordata, Aves, Cuculiformes, Cuculidae. The transcript has 3 exons.